AGAUACCGGUGACGAUUCUUGUUUGACGAAGCGUGUAUGAAGCGAGAAUGUCCGAAGAGAUAAAAGACACCGGCUGUUAAAGAAAACGUGUCGCAGUUUAGUUCGUUUCGUCGACGGUCUGCUACGAGGAACGACAACUGUUCCGGUGUGAACCGUUUUCACUGUUGUAACGAUGCGGUUUCAUAUUCUUGUGGGGACCGUUGUGCAUUGGAUAGUACUUCUCGUUAGUCUUACGUCACCGUCAUCGACGGAGGGGGCUGGCGAUCCUGAAAGAAUGUCAAGCGAAAAGAUUCGGCGGAAGUUUCUGACGGAGUUAUCUUCACCCUCGAACAGCGUGGCGGGAGCAAUGGUUCACUCGAUUUUACACAGAAAUACGUCCAUGCGAUGUUUUCACACGCCUCAAUUUCAUUUUUGGUUUCAUACUAUUCAUACGUUCUCUUUUUAUCUGUAACUUCGAGUAAUUAUUUCGUGAGGAUUUAUUGAGUAAUAUUUAGCUAAACGUGACAUUGGUUCAUGAUAUUGAUAUAUCAUGAAUUUAUUUAAACGGUCCUCGGUAUAAACAAGUAUUCAAAAUGAACAACGUUAGUUAUAUAUGAUUUCAGUGAAAUAUUAAGGAAUAAACAAUCUACAAAGAAUUUGAUUUACUUCGAAAUACAAUAGAAACGUUGUACAAUUGAUUUGAGGUCUCAAAAUGAUACUUUAUUAUAUUGUUCGCACUUUAAGCAUAGAAAUAUUAAUAUUUGCAAUUUAUAUAAUUUAUAUAAUAAAUUGCAACAGAAAUAUAUCGUUUGGAUUUAACGACCUAUAUUCGAAAAUAUGCCAAGGUGGAACUUGCAUUCACAAGAGGGAAAUUAAAAUGUAUGACCGAAAUGUAACAGUUGAAAAAGCAGGAAGUCCAUAGUUAAAACUACUUUAACCUGGCUGCAUGAAUGACGUGUGCAUAAAAGUGACACAAUUGUGACUAUUUAACUAGUUUAAACUAACUGAAACAGGUUUUAUAACAAGGCCUUAACAAAUAGUUGUGUACGUUUAAAAACUUCGUAAAUAUAAAAUGAAUACGUGAAACAUUUAAUACGAACGCUUUAUUUCUCGAUAAACGAUUCUUUACACGUGCCAAGUUGACUAAGAGUUUACUGAAUCGAUUUCUGAAUAUCCAUGUUCAAGAUCAACAACGUCCAUAUUGUACUACAAAUUUUCAUCAAACAUUUUUGUGGAAAACCAUUGUAAACGCUUAGCUACGUGUCGUCUCACAACUUAAAGAAAAAAAAGGAAAUUAUCAUGAGUUGAAAUCUGUCUCGUCUACGUAGCAAGAUUGUAAAGUAGAGCACAUGCAGCAUAUGUUUUAAUAAAUCUCGCAGCAGCGUACGUGCGUAUACACUGCCCCAGUGUUCUCGCAGAACACAAUUUAACAAAAUGCCUCAAAUCACGAGGCGAUUGAUCGACAGGACAAUAUGUACGACGAUCGGUGAAAUAGCCCUCUAUCGUGCACAUAAAUGUUUACAUCAAAGAAGAUGAAAUGGGCUCUUGAUGUAUGAGACGCAUAAUGGGAAAUAUCAUCGGACAGUGUGCAACAUGGUAUUAUAUGCACUAAAGUUUCUACACAAACUCCAUAAUAAUCUGGCUGUGACGCAGGAAAGAAACGAUAGAUAACAUUUCAAAACUUUUUAAUUGACUGCCGAAGAAAUAAAUAUUUGAACGAUUAGAUAGUAGCAUCACGUAAUAAUGCAAGCGAGUGAUUCGUCCUCUGUUUAUUCAUAAUCCUUAUCAACCGACUGUAGUCCGAUGACAUUGAAACGUAAUAGUGUUCAAAAUUCAAACACCUGUUGAUCAAUAAAAAUUUCGAAUAAACGUAUAAUACGAGUGAAAUUGAAAACGGCGAUGGUUAUUGAAAGUUCUUAUAUUCUGUGCAAUGACUAGGUUGAUUUCAAAGUAGAACAGUGCUCAUGAAAACAAAGAAAAAAUAAAAAUUGUAGAUUUCACUUUUUAGCAAAAUGUAUGAGAUAUUUUGAGAAGCACUGGUUAAAAGAGAUUAUUCAGUGUAAUGGUUUCAUACCCUUGCAGUGGCUUCAACACCUUCCGCGACAUAAAGGGUUACACUACUGUCGUCAUAUUACUAUUUACACUCGACGCGGAAAAUAAAAAUGUAAUGCAAACGUGUAUCUUCAAAUUGGCAAAUUUUAAUAUGGUAUCAAAGAACAGAAUUUAGCAGAUAGUCCCACAAAGGUCAGACUAUUAUCAUUCGAAGCAUGUCAAGAUUAAACUCUGUCUAGAAACCAGAUACUCAUUUUUACACUUCUUUUUGCGAGUUUUCAAAUUCUCGUGUAAAUAUCACAAAAUUCCGUUCCAAAUUCUUAUUCUCGAAAUAUUAUAACGCCAAUUAACGUUCUUACAAAUUCACAUUAAUUUUCCGAGUAAUCAAGCGAUUUUGUCAACAACCGUACGUUUUGAUCGGCCACGCAAGGGUUGAAGAGAGACGGAAGCGGAACGCAAGCAACAAAAGGAGAAGCGUGCACAUAGCUCCACUGUCCCUCAUCCUAAACACUCUGUAACGUAUACGUGAAACAUAUUUGCAGUGCAAUUUAUUCGACACUCUGAAUAUAUUGUCGCGAGCUAAUUACUGAGACACGUGUGAAACGAGAACGCGAAUCUACGUGAGAAAAGAAUUCCAAAUACCUUCGAUACGUACACUACUCAUAGUGAAAUGAUCCCGAGUUGUCGUAACUGGAAUUGAAGGAAGAGGAUUGAGGGUCGGUGCACAGAUUUCCACCUUCUGCAGCACCUCGGGGUGCGAAUCACACGAAAUCACGUCGAUCGUUCGAUGUCUCUGACAGAUCCCUCGAUCACUGCACCACCAGCAUGGCGACGGACGAUCCCACGAUAGGGUAGAACGAGGAUCCAGUGCGAGCAGGUGCAGUGGUUGCAACUACGCUAACGUUUGUGCGUGCGGAGAGCGUCGCGGCGCAGCCCGCGAAGCGCCACCCCCGAGCCGCGCAAUCGGAUAGAGGCGAAUUGCGGAUCCAGGUCGAUCAAUAUGACGGGUCAGCAGUCGUUGCCUCGUGCUCGCGUUGCGGCAAGCACGCUGAAGUGUUGAGGAGAGGACACCACGACGGAACCGUGAACAGUUCGCCACGUUUGCGCCGUAGAAUCUCGCCUCGAGCAUCCCCUUUUUUCGAUGGAACGCACGUGCACUGUCCCACGUAGUUACAUUUCUUCUUUUCUUUUUAAUCGUUCAUUGUAACUUGUCGCCGGACUCAAUCGAACGUUCUGAAUUUAGAAAAGACCUGUAACCUUUAAUAACGUCUGUAACUAUUAACAGUAGUGAACUGAAGGUAUUUUUAUUAGAAGAAUUAGUGAACAUUUUUAUAGGGAACUGGAUUGAUGACAGUGAACACGGAUAUAAUGAUUUCUUUAAUUUAGCAUGUAACGUUGUUAAUGCGUUGAAUACUGUGUCAGCUGUUGGUGAUCGACGAUGUUUAAAUUAAAUGAAAAUACUGUAUUUAAAUAUUGUAUUCGUUAACGAAGGAAAUUGGAAGACUUCGAUCAGGUUGUUAUUAAUUUCAUUUGUAUCGUCACAAUUUAUUUCAUUUGACGACUGUUAAGAGUUAAUCUAUAUUCGACAAAAAUAUGCCGCAGCUUUAAAAGAUCAAAUUUCAUUACAACAUCAUUAAAAGAUCACCAUGGAGUGUAUAUAAGUAAUACAGCUGCAUCAUAUUGAAGAAAAGAAGUUUGCUGUACCAGAGGACUAGUGUUGCAAAUAUUUCCUGUACAUUAAUUCAGAGUUAAUUAAUCGAGUAGACUUUCUAGUGACCAAUUUCUAAAUUAUUAAAAUUAAUAGUAAACAAUUCCAAAAGUAAUGAGUCUGAAGAACAUUUAAAUUCCCCUGUAA
Molecule: long non-coding RNA, 3886 nt
Organism: Nomia melanderi (Alkali bee)
Lineage: Eukaryota; Metazoa; Arthropoda; Insecta; Hymenoptera; Halictidae
Source: RefSeq, a predicted model, not a curated record